GGCCGCCUGGCGAAAUGGCAUCGCGUCUGACUACGAUGGAAGCGAGCUGAGAAGGUGUGUAAUCAGGAGAUUGCAGGUUCGACCCCUGCGGUGGUCA
This 97-nucleotide transfer RNA is filed under the name Lentinula raphanica. It matches the Rfam family "tRNA". From Rfam's summary of the family: Transfer RNA (tRNA) molecules are approximately 80 nucleotides in length. Their secondary structure includes four short double-helical elements and three loops (D, anti-codon, and T loops). Further hydrogen bonds mediate the characteristic L-shaped molecular structure. tRNAs have two regions of fundamental functional importance: the anti-codon, which is responsible for specific mRNA codon recognition, and the 3' end, to which the tRNAs corresponding amino acid is attached (by aminoacyl-tRNA synthetases). tRNAs cope with the degeneracy of the genetic code in two manners: having more than one tRNA (with a specific anti-codon) for a particular amino acid; and 'wobble' base-pairing, i.e. permitting non-standard base-pairing at the 3rd anti-codon position. Lineage: Eukaryota; Fungi; Basidiomycota; Agaricomycetes; Agaricales; Omphalotaceae. The record is from Rfam by way of RNAcentral.